Molecule: ribosomal RNA, 164 nt
Filed under: Taraxacum aff. magellanicum CHR514144
Lineage: Eukaryota; Viridiplantae; Streptophyta; Magnoliopsida; Asterales; Asteraceae
Description: 5.8S ribosomal RNA
Rfam family: 5.8S ribosomal RNA
About the family: 5.8S ribosomal RNA (5.8S rRNA) is a component of the large subunit of the eukaryotic ribosome.
Source: RNAcentral
AAACGACUCUCGGCAACGGAUAUCUCGGCUCACGCAUCGAUGAAGAACGUAGCAAAAUGCGAUACUUGGUGUGAAUUGCAGAAUCCCGUGAACCAUUGAGUUUUUGAACGCAAGUUGCGCCCGAAGCCAUCCGGUUGAGGGCACGCCUGCCUGGGCGUCACGCA